UUCAAACGUCUCCUCUCACUUCUCUUCUCUCUAUAUUCUCUCCCCUUUUCCCUCUUUAACCUACCUUUUUCUUACUAAUUUCUCUUUCAAGAACACUCUUUCUCAGCAAAUUCGAGUGUUUUGAGAUAAUAUGGCAAAGAAUAAUCAAAGAGUUUAUAAAAGAAGGCCUAGAAAAAAGGCUAGGCCAACGGAAGAAGAGUUUGCUCUGGCUAGAGAAGCAGAUACGUUUCCAUAAGCUCAGGUAACAGAAGAAAUGACCUCAUGAGCUCCUAGUUCAGUUAGAGAAAAAGAAAGUGCAAAAGAUGAGGAAUCAAUAGAUCAGGAAGAGGAAAUUGAAAGUGGAAAAGAAAGUGCAGAAGUUGAGGAAUCAACCGAUCAGGAAGAAGAAAAUGAAAGUGAAAAAGAAAAUGCAAAAGAUGAGGAAUCAACGGAUCAACAAGAAGAAAAUGAAAGUGGAGAAGAAAGGGUAGAAGAGAGUAAAGAAGAAACAAAUCAUGAUGUACUUUUUGAAUAAAGAAAAAAAGUAUUACAUGAUGAGAAUGUUGCCCCUUCAAGAUCAAAUUUUGCUGAUGAUUCUAAUACUGAGGUGCCCGAAUGCAUCAAGUCUAUUGAUCGUACAAAGUAUCGCUUCAUGAUAAAUUAUUCUAUGCAUGGUGAUUUUCCGGGAAAGAUUUUGUAAAGUAACCUCUAAGAGGAAAAGCAUUUGUUGAAUUCAAAGGAGUUCUGGUAGAAUAGGGUAUUUCAGAUAGGUUCAAAAAAAGUUAUUUCGGGCAUUUCCUUGAUAUUCCAAUGCAGUGAAUGAAUUUCGGGUCGCUGAUAGUUCAUGGUCUUCUACUCCGACGUAUCAUUUGUGAGAAAAAGCUGGAACUGUGGUUUGAACAUGAAAAUAUGCAUGUUUGUUUUGGCUUGAGGAAAUAUGCCUUGAUGACCGAACUACGGUGCCACUCCUUUCCUUCUGGAGAAGCAUUGGCUAAUCUGCUAAAGAAUGGCGAACCACUGUGGAAAUUUGUUUCAAAGAAAGGAAAAACCGUUAAUGCUAACUUUCUCCUUGAAAAGAUCAAAUCACCUGAAACACCAAAAAAAUUAUAAGUUUUCACUUGCAUUGGUUUGGUUCUAUCACUGCAUCAUAUGUGCAAAAGAUAUAUCCAGUGGCAUUGAUGCCGACAUGAUCAAGCUAGCUUGCAAUCCCUCUAUCUUCAACGAAUAUCCAUGGGUCUCAAAAGCUAUCUUUUGACUGUUGAGUAUCUUACGAAGCCAAUAAUAUCCUAAUACAACCUCUACGGCUUUCCGUGGGCGUUCCUGGCUUGGGCCUUUGAAGCUAUUUCGAAACUUCAACAAAAUGCUAAGAAUGUUCCCCCUGAGAGGAUAUUGCCACAUAUGAUCAGGUGGAUGUCGGAUGGAGGCCUAAAAAAAUCUUCAGAUCAAUUCACUGCUACUGAUGAAAAGGUAAGGCUCUAAAACACGUUAAACAACCCGAGACUUGCUUAAACAACCUGAGACUUGCCUAAACAACUUGAGGUUGUUUGAACUAAACAACAUUCAGUUGUUUAAUAAACAUGAGGUUGUUUAUAAAGGAAGACCAUAAUAUUGACUUUUUUGUUCUUUCUAUGCAGGUAGUGUUGACACCUAAUUUUUGACCUCCCAUAGUUUAUUUUAAUUGCUUAGAGUCCUUGGAUAUCAAAAAGGAGUAAAAUGUGUAUUUUCUACAAGUCAAAAUGAUUUUAAAAAAUUAUUUCGAUAAUAUUUUGACAUUUCAUUUGGCAAAAUAACUUCAAUAAUAUUAUAAAUCAUUUAGAAAUCAAUUUACAUUUUUUUAUAAUUAAUAUGGAACAUUUUCUAAAUUCAAUCAAGCGGAUAAUCCAAAACAAUUAUUUAUUUAAAUGUUAAAAUUAUCAGAAAAUCAAUUAGCAAGCAUGUUACUCCGUUUAAUUCAAGAAGUCUGAUUAAUUAACUAAGUUAAUCAUUUUACCCCUUAAUUCCUAAUUUUGUAUAUUCAAUUUGCAUUUGUGCAAUUUCUUGAGUUAAUCAUAAUUAAUCAAUUGUCUAAUUGUGGUUAAUUUCAUAAAUCUGCUUUCUAUAUGAUUAAUUGGGGCUAUAAUUGAAAUAAUCAAUUUGUGGGAUAAUUUUGGCUUUAAUUGAAAUAGCCAAUUCUCAUUGCUUAAAUCAAUUGAGGUCAUUAUUGAAAAAUUAGCCUUUAAAUUGUGUAGUUAGUUUAAUCCUGGCCUUAAUUGAAAUAACUAAUUUCAUGGCUUAAGUCAAUUGAGGUCGUCAUUGCAAAAUUGGUCUUUAGUUGUUAGAUCAGGAUAACUGUGGCCAUAUUUUAAAUAAUCAAUCUCAUGACUAUGCUUGCAAUUAAGUUUGUUACAUAAUUAACUGUGUCUGGACUUUGGCCAAUUGGUUAAUCCAUUAUGUUUAGUCGUAAUUAAGGAGUUUAAAUUAACUAGCUUCCUUAAUUAUGGCCAUUUAUUUAAACCAAUGUUGAGUCCUUCCCAUAUAUAUACACACAAAUACAUGUAUAUGUAUGCAUAUAUAAAUCAUUUUUUUGCGCGGAUUGCCCUUCUUUGGGGUGGUCUUUAAAUUUUAUCCCUCAUAUUUGUGGUCUUUAAAUUAUGCCCCUCAUAUUGCUGGUCUUUAAUUUUUGCCCUUCGCUUAGAUACCUGAGUUUUUGGGUUCGAACUCCCGCUCAAGCAUAAAAUAAAAAAAUAAUUUCGCAAGGCAGGAUUGGGGGGAGUAUAUGCCGGAUCCGGCAUACAAUCCUUAAGGAAAAAUUAAAGUUAUGUCGGAGGGGGCAUAACUAUUCCUCAGUUAUGCCUUAUGGGGCAAAACUUUUCCUUAAGAAACUAUGCCUUAUGAGGAAGAUUUUUAAUUAAGGCAUAACCAAAAGUAUGUCCCGUAAGACAGAACUUUUCCUUAAGGCAUAGACUUUGCCUUAUAAGGCAAACUUUUAGUUAUGCCUUAAGGAAAAGUUCCGCCUUAUGGAGUAUACUUUUAAUGGGCAAACUUUUAUGCUGGACC
Molecule: long non-coding RNA, 3015 nt
Organism: Lycium barbarum (goji berry)
Lineage: Eukaryota; Viridiplantae; Streptophyta; Magnoliopsida; Solanales; Solanaceae
Exons: 4
Source: RefSeq, a predicted model, not a curated record